Molecule: ribosomal RNA, 505 nt
Filed under: uncultured bacterium
Lineage: Bacteria
Description: partial 16S ribosomal RNA
Rfam family: Bacterial small subunit ribosomal RNA
Source: RNAcentral
GACGAACGCUGGCGGCGUGCCUAAUACAUGCAAGUAGAACGCACAGUUUAUACCGUAGCUUGCUACACCAUAGACUUUGAGUUGCGAACGGGUGAGUAACGCGUAGGUAACCUGCCUGGUAGUGGGGUAUAACUAUUGGAAACGAUAGCUAAUACCGCAUAAUAUUAAUUAUUGCAUGAUAAUUAAUUGAAAGGUGCAAGUGCACCACUACCAGAUGGACCUGCGUUGUAUUAGCUAGUAGGUGAGGUAACGGCUCACCUAGGCGACGAUACAUACCCCACCUCAGAUGCUGAUCGGCCACGCUAAGACUGAGACACGGCCGACCUUCCGACGAGAGGCAGCAGUCCGGACUCUACGGCAAUGGCCGACAGUCUGACCGCGCAACGCCGCGUGAGUGAGGAAGCUCUCCGGAUCGUAAAGCUCUCUUGUAGGAGAAGAGCGGGUGUGCGCGUGCAAAGUUCACCCUGUGACGGUAUCUUACCAGAAAGGGACGGCUACCUACGUG